Molecule: ribosomal RNA, 492 nt
Filed under: uncultured bacterium
Lineage: Bacteria
Description: partial 16S ribosomal RNA
Rfam family: Bacterial small subunit ribosomal RNA
Source: RNAcentral
GAUGAACGCUGGCGGCGUGCCUAAUACAUGCAAGUCGAGCGAACAGACGAUGAGCUUGCUCCUCUGACGUUAGCGGCGGACGGGUGAGUAACACAUGGAUAACCUACUUAUAUUACUUGGAUAACUUCGGGAAACCGGAGCUAAUACUGGCUCAUAUAUUGAACCGCAUAGAUCAAUGGUUCAAGACGGUUUUCGUGUCUCUUUUAGCCGGUGCCGCAUUAGCUAGUUGGUUGGGUAAGGGCCCACCAAGGCAACGAUGCGUAGCUGACCUGAGAGGAUGAUCAGCCACACUGGAACUGAGACACGGUCCAGACUCCUACGGGAGGCAGCAGUAGGGAAUAUUCCGCAAUGGGCGAAAGCCUGACGCAGCAACGCCGCGUGAGUGAUGAAGGUCUUCGGAUCGUAAAACCCUGUUAUUAGGGAAGAAAAAAUGUGUAAGUAACUAUGGACGUCUUGACGGUACCCAAUCAGAAAGCCACGGCUAACUACGUG